GAGACUUUAGCUCAGUGGUAGAGCAUCUCACUUUUAAUGAGAGGGUCGCUGGUUCGAAACCAGCAAGUCUCA
RNAcentral lists this transfer RNA (72 nucleotides) under Verrucomicrobiota bacterium. RNAcentral's name for it is "tRNA-Lys". It matches the Rfam family "tRNA". From Rfam's summary of the family: Transfer RNA (tRNA) molecules are approximately 80 nucleotides in length. Lineage: Bacteria; Pseudomonadati; Verrucomicrobiota. The record is from RNAcentral.